This is a long non-coding RNA of Scophthalmus maximus (turbot), 1110 nucleotides long. RefSeq lists it as uncharacterized. NCBI's taxonomy places the organism in Eukaryota, Metazoa, Chordata, Actinopteri, Pleuronectiformes, Scophthalmidae. The record is from RefSeq and is a predicted model, not a curated record. The transcript is spliced from 3 exons.
GCAGCGGGUUGAGCCUCUACAAUGGGCUCCUGUGCGGCUUGCCAGCAACAAGCACCGGCUAUUUUGCACAGGGCUCUGCUGACUGAAGUGAUCCCCACGGGCCGAGUGGAGGAGAGGACGCAGAUGAAGCCUCAGAGGGAAGAGGGAUAGCUGCUGAAGAGCUGCACACACACACACACACACACACACACACACACACACACUCAAACACUCGCACAAUGUCCCUCUCAGUCCUGGGUUGUGACCGGCCCAUGGCAUUGGCCAGGUAUGUCAGCUAUGUUUGCCAAGCCAUCCAUCACCCAUGCACCUUCCCUCCUGAAACAGGAACUUUUGUUUGAAGCACACACUUGUUAAACCCAUCCUUUGACUGUGUUCAACCUAAUUUAUUUCCUUAUUGCCUGGGACGGGGGAUUUAUUGGCACCUAUGUUUUGUUCUUUAUUUUUCCUCUUAUUGUGGGCUGCACAGAGCAGAUGUGUUUGGCGGAAACAUGGGCGUGCUGUCACGAAGAGCGAUUGCGAGCUACAGUUUGGGGACGCCGGGGGCCCUUAUCAUCGGUGACCAGGGUUAGCAAAUAAACACACUGUGGUGAAGUCAAGCUGCACAUGCACACGCUGGCCCCCCCCCCCCCGUCCACUUUCCUCACCCUGCGUCGGGCAGACGCAAAAGCACUUUCCUGUCGAUGUACUUGGCCAUAUCUGCGUCUGACCUGUCCGCCAUAUGUAAUAUCAAAGCCUCUGUCAGCGCGGAGCUGAAUGGGAACAAAAGAGAGACCUCCAUUAAUGAUUAACUGUUCUAAAAGCCCCGGCUUUUGUAUUCCCAUGGUGCCCAGGCUAUCUGGCCGCCAUGUGACAUGCUCACAGCAUUUUUCGAGCAGAUUGGGGGAAAGCUAGUGAGCAAACACAGGUGCUUUGGAGCAGCGUUGCCGACGCUGUCAGGGACAACCACAAACAAGAGCAGCUAUGCCUGGCUAAAUGAAUCCCCACCCCUCCCAGCGCCAUCACCAUCGCCUCCUCCGCCACCACCCCCAACCCCUUCUCAGUCACUAGCUAACUUGUUUGCUGGAUCCCAAUGGCGUUCUCCCCGCAAAGCUGACCCUCUGGAGAGUCCAC